Molecule: ribosomal RNA, 1503 nt
Filed under: Pseudomonas sp. P.f-9103
Lineage: Bacteria; Pseudomonadati; Pseudomonadota; Gammaproteobacteria; Pseudomonadales; Pseudomonadaceae
Description: bacterial SSU rRNA
Rfam family: Bacterial small subunit ribosomal RNA
Source: RNAcentral
GAGUUUGAGUUUGAUCCUGGCUCAGAUUGAACGCUGGCGGCAGGCCUAACACAUGCAAGUCGAGCGGUAGAGAGAAGCUUGCUUCUCUUGAGAGCGGCGGACGGGUGAGUAAUGCCUAGGAAUCUGCCUGGUAGUGGGGGAUAACGUUCGGAAACGGACGCUAAUACCGCAUACGUCCUACGGGAGAAAGCAGGGGACCUUCGGGCCUUGCGCUAUCAGAUGAGCCUAGGUCGGAUUAGCUAGUUGGUGAGGUAAUGGCUCACCAAGGCGACGAUCCGUAACUGGUCUGAGAGGAUGAUCAGUCACACUGGAACUGAGACACGGUCCAGACUCCUACGGGAGGCAGCAGUGGGGAAUAUUGGACAAUGGGCGAAAGCCUGAUCCAGCCAUGCCGCGUGUGUGAAGAAGGUCUUCGGAUUGUAAAGCACUUUAAGUUGGGAGGAAGGGUUGUAGAUUAAUACUCUGCAAUUUUGACGUUACCGACAGAAUAAGCACCGGCUAACUCUGUGCCAGCAGCCGCGGUAAUACAGAGGGUGCAAGCGUCAAUCGGAAUUACUGGGCGUAAAGCGCGCGUAGGUGGUUUGUUAAGUUGGAUGUGAAAUCCCCGGGCUCAACCUGGGAACUGCAUUCAAAACUGACUGACUAGAGUAUGGUAGAGGGUGGUGGAAUUUCCUGUGUAGCGGUGAAAUGCGUAGAUAUAGGAAGGAACACCAGUGGCGAAGGCGACCACCUGGACUAAUACUGACACUGAGGUGCGAAAGCGUGGGGAGCAAACAGGAUUAGAUACCCUGGUAGUCCACGCCGUAAACGAUGUCAACUAGCCGUUGGAAGCCUUGAGCUUUUAGUGGCGCAGCUAACGCAUUAAGUUGACCGCCUGGGGAGUACGGCCGCAAGGUUAAAACUCAAAUGAAUUGACGGGGGCCCGCACAAGCGGUGGAGCGUGUGGUUUAAUUCGAAGCAACGCGAAGAACCUUACCAGGCCUUGACAUCCAAUGAACUUUCUAGAGAUAGAUUGGUGCCUUCGGGAACAUUGAGACAGGUGCUGCAUGGCUGUCGUCAGCUCGUGUCGUGAGAUGUUGGGUUAAGUCCCGUAACGAGCGCAACCCUUGUCCUUAGUUACCAGCACGUAAUGGUGGGCACUCUAAGGAGACUGCCGGUGACAAACCGGAGGAAGGUGGGGAUGACGUCAAGUCAUCAUGGUCCUUACGGCCUGGGCUACACACGUGCUACAAUGGUCGGUACAGAGGGUUGCCAAGCCGCGAGGUGGAGCUAAUCCCAUAAAACCGAUCGUAGUCCGGAUCGCAGUCUGCAACUCGACUGCGUGAAGUCGGAAUCGCUAGUAAUCGCGAAUCAGAAUGUCGCGGUGAAUACGUUCCCGGGCCUUGUACACACCGCCCGUCACACCAUGGGAGUGGGUUGCACCAGAAGUAGCUAGUCUAACCUUCGGGAGGACGGUUACCACGGUGUGAUUCAUGACUGGGGUGAAGUCGUAACAAGGUAACC